AGCUGUUACUUAGUUAAGAAACGAACAAAGAACGAUACAUAGAUGGUUAGCACAGAUUAUAACAAAUAAUCGAUUAGAUAAAGAAAUUGAAUGAACGAAAUUGUUAAAAGUUCUAUUUCUUCCAUAUUAUGUCAUCUAUGACAGUGUCCGAGUGUCGUGAAUUUGACAGAUAACGCUCAUUUUGUAUGUUUUAUAGCGGGAAUUUCUAUCUAAAUAAUUUUUUAUCUUUCAUUUUUAAUAGUAGUAUUUAUAGUGUAUUUAUUAGUUUUAUUCAGUGAUGGACACCCCCGAGCAAGCCAAUAAAAGAAUACGAUCCACCAAUUGCAGUGAUAUAGAGAAGUUUUAAUGCUGUCAAUUCUACUAAGCGGGAUAUGACACAGCUUCUCAUCCAAUGGAAGAACAUGAAAAAUAAAGCAAAGAAGUCGGAGUUUUCUUUCAGGAGAGCAAAAAACAUGACUGAUGGAGGACCUCCCCCACCUAGGCCACCUCCUGAAGACCAGGAACUCAUCGACGCAAAUUCACCACAAGUUCUCAAUUGACUCAAACUGUCGUGAUAGUGACAGCAUUUAUAUUAAACAGCCACAAUAAAUUGAUGAUCCCAGCCCAGCUCUAUUUAGUUCGGCAGCCCAGGCCAGUAGUCAGGCCUCAUUUCCCAUACAUGACAGGCCAGGUCCUUCAGGAUCGGCUCCAGCAAAAAAAAAACGAAAAACAAAUAAAUUAAAGUCGGACUGCUGUAAGACCAAUCAAUGAGCAUGAAAUUUAUAUGAUGGCAAGGAAAGCGAGGGAGGAAGCCAUGCUUCGCGAUAAAGAAGCGCACGAAUGUAAGAUGAUGUAUGAAAGAGAGCUGCAUGAAAGAAGAAUGACAUUAAUGGCUUUGGAAGAGGAUUAUUGGAAAAUUAAAAUAAGAAAAUUAAAAGAAAAUGAGUGAGUUUUAUUGUAAACAUUUUAUUGAGUUUUAGUGUGAUUAUUGUAUUCUUAUUAAAUUGUCAUCUAUACAAAUAAAUAAAACUGGAGUGUCUGGUUUUAAUAUUAAAAUAAUUGGAAAAUUAA
Long non-coding RNA from Melitaea cinxia (Glanville fritillary), 1050 nucleotides. RefSeq lists it as uncharacterized. The record is from RefSeq and is a predicted model, not a curated record. The transcript is spliced from 4 exons. Lineage: Eukaryota; Metazoa; Arthropoda; Insecta; Lepidoptera; Nymphalidae.